This 470-nucleotide ribosomal RNA is filed under the name uncultured bacterium. RNAcentral describes it as "bacterial SSU rRNA". It matches the Rfam family "Bacterial small subunit ribosomal RNA", at positions 331 to 795 of the family's 1533-position model. The record is from RNAcentral.
CCAGACUCCUACGGGAGGCAGCAGUGGGGAAUCUUCCGCAAUGGGCGAAAGCCUGACGGAGCAACGCCGCGUGAUCGAAUGAAGGCCUUCGGGUUGUAAAGAUCUGUUGACAGGGACGAAUAAGCCAUGCGAAUAGUUUGGUGUAUGACGGUACCUGUUUAGAAAGCUCCGGCUAACUACGUGCCAGCAGCCGCGGUAAUACGUAGGGAGCAAGCGUUGUCCGGAAUUACUGGGCGUAAAGGGCGCGUAGGUGGGUGCUUAAGUCAGGUGUGAAAACUCUGGGCUCAACCUGGAGACUGCACUUGAAACUGGGUAUCUUGAGGGCAGGAGAGGAAAGUGGAAUUCCUAGUGUAGCGGUGAAAUGCAUAGAUAUCACGCAGAACUCCGAUUGCGAAGGCAGCGUACCGGCGCCCAACUGACGCUGAAGCACGAAGGCGUGGGUAUCGAACAGGAUUAGAUACCCCGGUAAC